Molecule: ribosomal RNA, 422 nt
Filed under: uncultured bacterium
Lineage: Bacteria
Description: bacterial SSU rRNA
Rfam family: Bacterial small subunit ribosomal RNA
Source: RNAcentral
UCGGGAAUUUUGGGCAAUGGGGGAAACCCUGACCCAGCAACGCCGCGUGAAGGAUGAAGUAUUUCGGUAUGUAAACUUCGAAAGAAUAGGAAGAAUAAAUGACGGUACUAUUUAUAAGGUCCGGCUAACUACGUGCCAGCAGCCGCGGUAAUACGUAGGGACCAAGCGUUGUUCGGAUUUACUGGGCGUAAAGGGCGCGUAGGCGGCAUGACAAGUCACUUGUGAAAUCUCUGGGCUUAACCCAGAACGGCCAAGUGAUACUGUCGCGCUAGAGUGCAGAAGGGGCAAUCGGAAUUCUUGGUGUAGCGGUGAAAUGCGUAGAUAUCAAGAGGAACACCUGAGGUGAAGACGGGUUGCUGGGCUGACACUGACGCUGAGGCGCGAAAGCCAGGGGGAGCAAACGGGAUUAGAUACCCUUGUAG